GAAAAGGUCUUUUUACCUAAAAUAUUUCACAAAAUAUUUCACGCCUUCUAAAUGGACGAUUAAUGACAAGUGCUCUGCCUCCGCAAGGUUUUGAUUGCCGUUAUCGCCGCCGUCUAUUAGUCUUCAUCCUCUCCACUUUCCUUGCCUUCACUGUUCUCGCUCAAUCCCUCAAGCUCCACACUUUGGUACUUUCCCUUUUUCUUUUUCUAUUUAUUGGCUUAGGCAUGCGGUGAAAGAGAAAACCCCCCCACCAAAUUCCCCUACUGACAUUUUUUCAGAAACUUCUGAUAGUCUAUCCAUACUUCCAGGAAGUUUGAAAAAGCAAUAAAGCUUAAGCAAUGGCCAUUCCGUUUAUUAUAAACAAAGUUUUGUUGAAUAAAUCCGUCCAUAUCCAGCGACUACUUUCAAACCACCACCAAAUGCUUGAUCUUUUGUCAAUGAGAAGGAUGUGGUACCAACAAACCAUGUUUGGGUGGUUUCAAAUCAAACCAAUGACUUCCAGUAGACGAGUCCAAGACCGUAGCAAGAACAAAAGAAUUCACUAUCUCGAAAUUGUAAAAGAGAAAUGGAAAAUAUUAUCAAAAGUACUGUUUUUGAUGGAACUUUUAAAGAAAGAAAAAGAGAUGGUUAUCCCCUUAAGGUCAUUGGACAGAUACAGGAAGCAACUUAAUUUGCCAAAACCCCAUAAAAUAACUGAUUUUAUUAGGAAAUGUCCCAAGUUGUUUGAAUUAUACAAGGAUCAAAGGGGAACCUUAUGGUGUGGAAUGACUAAAGGAGCUGAGGAUUUGUUGGAAGAAGAGGAAAGGUUGAUUGAGGAACAAUCAACCAAAGCUGUUGAGUAUGUUACUAGGAUUUUAAUGAUGUCAGUUGAUAAAAGGAUUCAGUUAGAUAAGAUUGCUCAUUUUAGGAGAGAUUUUGGUUUGCCAAUUGAGUUUAGGACCAAGUGGGUGAAUCAGUAUCCCCAACAUUUUAGGGUGGAAAAAUCUAAAGAUGGGGUUGAGUUUUUGGAGCUUGUAAAUUGGGAUCCUGCUUGGGCUAUUACAGAGUUGGAGAAAAGAACAUUGGGUUUGAAUGAUGGGAUUGGACGUGAACCGGGUAUACUUUCUUUGCCUUUUCCUUUGAAGUUCCCUCCUAACUACAAAAAGGUGUAUAGACAUGGAGGGAAGAUUGAGCAUUUUCAGAAAAGGUCUUAUUUGUCUCCCUAUGCAGAUGCUAGGGAGCUGAAAGCGGGGUCAUUGGAAUUUGAUAAGAGGGCGGUUGCAGUUAUGCACGAGUUACUUAGCUUUACCAUUGAGAAGAGAUUGGUGACUGACCAUCUCACUCAUUUUCGACGGGAACUUGUGAUGCCACAGAAGUUGAUGAGGCUUCUUUUGAAGCAUUUUGGCAUCUUUUAUGUUUCUGAAAGGGGGAAGAGGUUUAGUGUCUUCUUGACUGAAGCUUAUGAAGGUUCUGAGCUGAUUGAGAAAUGCCCAUUGGUGCUUUGGAAGGAAAAGGUCCUGAGCCUUAUUGGUUAUAGAGGAAAGAAGAAAGAGGUUCCUACUUUCAGUGACCUGUCAGACAUGGAGGAAAGGGAUAUAAUUGAGGAAAAGGAUAUUAUCGAGGGUGAUACUGAGAUGGAAGACACAUGUGCAGAUUUUGAGGAAGAGGAAAUCAUGGGUGGUUUAGAUGCUGUUUCACCUACUAAUGAUGAUGAGUUGGAGAUUUCUCAUUUUUGCAAUUCAUACAAAGGCACUAGUUAAACUUGAGGUUAUUUUCUUUUGGACGUUUAGUUUUUGUGUCACUUCAGUCAAGUUUGAAAGUUCAAAGAUGUCAUUACUUUUAAAUGAAAAAAUUUAAGCAAAGCUUAUUGCCUCCUUGAUAACUGUUUGUAAGUGUUUUACUGUCUUUUUCUAGCUGUCAUCUUCCCUGUGUAUAGAAGUUAUGUGUUGAAAAUGAACUAAAAGCUUAAUAUGCAUUUGAAGUAAUAAAUGUUAAGAUAUUCACAGCUCAAGUUGUCCCUUUAAGCAGUCCUCUGAGCUCAUGACUUGUAGCUUCCUGUAUCUGAAACUGAUUGGUGGUUCUUGAUAAGAAUUCGCCAUUUGUUUCCCAAAAAGUUUUGACUGCUUUUCACAUUGAGGUAUAUGGAUUUCCGCCGGGAUUUCAGUUAUAUAUGCAUAGAUUCCUACGUAAUUUGUACCCAACAUGGAUGGAUAGCAAUUAAUAUCACAUCCCAUGCUUGCUUCUGAUAUUUUGAUAUUCAGAUUCUGUUUGUUGAUUCUGAAAUUUGGAAAAUAGUCUCUCCAUUAUUUUGGGAUUUAAUGGUAGCCAUUUGAAACUUCUAACCAAUGUUUAGUAUGAUGCGAUACUUAUUAUUGGCAAUGUUGCAAUGACUUACAUUUUCAAUUGUGACCUUUUCUCUUCGCGCAUGAAGAUAUGUUAUCUGAUUGAAGCUCACUUUAUAUGAAUAGAGCUUCUUCACUGUACUUCUAUUAAUUGGUCUUAUCAGAUACAAGCUUUUCUUUUAGAGUGAACACUAUAAAGUCUAUAAUAGUAAAACCUUUAUGAAUGGAUUGUCUAUUCUCGAAGAACGCUGAUUGGAACAUAGGCCUAUCAUUAUUUGUUCAACUAUAUUUUUCCAAAUUAUUUCUUGUCUUUCUUUUGUUUAAACAAUUCAUUGUUUCAGAUAUUCCCCUCUAUUCAGAUUGCAUGUUCAGCUAGCAGACAGGUUUAUAUAUACGGGUGCUUUUAUCUUGGAUGUUAGCAAUUCUAAUUUGCAAGAUUGCAUAAUAGCAUGAGUUCUUAGUACGAAAUCUUUCCUUCAACUUGGGAUUUUGUCUGGGUUUUACAAUUGAAAAAGAGAACUCCUUCAACAGUGGAAAUAUUUAAAGUGAAAGGACAGCAGAAAAGUUCUGAGACAUGAAGGUCAUGGCACAGCAGCAAGAAAUUCGGCCAAUGACUGGACCAUGUUCCAUUUUCAUACUGCAUAGAAUCAAAUUUGAAAGCUUCUGUCA
This is an RNA transcript of Gossypium raimondii (Peruvian cotton), 2990 nucleotides long. It is a transcript of the gene named protein WHAT'S THIS FACTOR 1 homolog, chloroplastic, with no coding region annotated. The record is from RefSeq and is a predicted model, not a curated record. The transcript has 3 exons. NCBI's taxonomy places the organism in Eukaryota, Viridiplantae, Streptophyta, Magnoliopsida, Malvales, Malvaceae.